UCAAUGGUCGGCAGACUGAACCAGCCAAGUCGCGUGAGGGAAGACGGCCCUACGGGUUGUAAACCUCUUUUGUCGGAGAGUAAAGUGCGCUACGCGUAGCGUAUUGCAAGUAUCCGAAGAAAAAGCAUCGGCUAACUCCGUGCCAGCAGCCGCGGUAAUACGGAGGAUGCGAGCGUUAUCCGGAUUUAUUGGGUUUAAAGGGUGCGUAGGCGGCACGCCAAGUCAGCGGUGAAAUUUCCGGGCUCAACCCGGAUUGUGCCGUUGAAACUGGCGAGCUAGAGUGCACAAGAGGCAGGCGGAAUGCGUGGUGUAGCGGUGAAAUGCAUAGAUAUCACGCAGAACCCCGAUUGCGAAGGCAGCCUGCUAGGGUGCGACAGACGCUGAGGCACGAAAGCGUGGGUAUCGAACAGGAUUAGAUACCCUGGUAGUCCACGCAGUAAACGAUGAAUACUAACUGUUUGCGAUACAAUGUAAGCGGUACAGCGAAAGCGUUAAGUAUUCCACCUGGGGAGUACGCCGGCAACGGUGAAACUCAAAGGAAUUGACGGGGGCCCGCACAAGCGGAGGAACAUGUGGUUUAAUUCGAUGAUACGCGAGGAACCUUACCCGGGCUCAAACGCAGGGGGAAUGCCGGUGAAAGCCGGCAGCUAGCAAUAGUCACCUGCGAGGUGCUGCAUGGUUGUCGUCAGCUCGUGCCGUGAGGUGUCGGCUUAAGUGCCAUAACGAGCGCAACCCUUAUCACUAGUUACUAACAGGUGAAGCUGAGGACUCUGGUGAGACUGCCAGCGUAAGCUGUGAGGAAGGUGGGGAUGACGUCAAAUCAGCACGGCCC
This 832-nucleotide ribosomal RNA is filed under the name human gut metagenome. Its description in RNAcentral is "bacterial SSU rRNA". It matches the Rfam family "Bacterial small subunit ribosomal RNA", at positions 368 to 1201 of the family's 1533-position model. The record is from RNAcentral.